Molecule: long non-coding RNA, 215 nt
Filed under: Brassica napus (rape)
Lineage: Eukaryota; Viridiplantae; Streptophyta; Magnoliopsida; Brassicales; Brassicaceae
Description: long non-coding RNA (BNAP_LNC015536)
Source: RNAcentral
GUUUGUUGAAUGCUUGGAUUCCAUAUGAUACUAGUCCUAGUCCGGGACGAACUAACUAACGGUUUCAAACUCGGGUUGCAAAGCCUUAACUUGAAAUCGCUAGGAAACCCAUUCUUGGACAUAUGAUCUUGGGAUUCCGGAUCUGAUCCGGGAACCUAGGGUCAAAUGUUUGGGCACGUGGUAGUAGUAUCUUCGAUCUGGUUAGAGUUCUUUAG